CCUCUUCGUGUUUACUCUAACAGUACGAGUCGCCGCGUCUCUCCCCCGAGUGUCCCUGAGUCCGUCCGCUCUUGUCGCCCUGCGGUCGUCCCACACUGAGUUCUGAGGGAAGCAGAGUCCAGACCGUUCUUUGAAGACGUCCCCCGCUGCCUCACAAUAACAGAGGGGGGCGUGUAGCAGCGGCGUUCUUGCACUGGUUCGAACGGCGGGGGUCAGAGAGAUGACUGUAUAAACAUUGAAGGCGGUAAUGUGAUGCUGGGAUGGAAGAGCAGGUUUGAUUAAAGUUUAAUGAAGCUUUCGCACAUUUAGAGGAGAGGGGGCGGAGCUUAGAGGUGAACUCCUGCAGCCACACGUCCUCUCUGCUCGCCACCUGGCCUUUGUUUCUGUUCAAACACUCGGUUAUAUCUGCAGACUCUCAGCAGGUGUGAGAGAGAGAAUGAAAAGACCGGACACCAGAGAGAGAGAGUGACGAGCGGCCAAUCAGAUGAGAGGAUGUCUAAAUACAGGAAGGAGAGGGGCGGCGGUCGAACCCUGACAGAUGUGAGGAAGACGUAAGACUGUGUGAUAGAGAGAGAGAGAGAGAGAGAGAUGGACGGACGGAUGGAUGGAUGGACAGCGGAUGGACAGAUGGAUGGAUGGAUGGAUGGAUGGAUGGACAGCGGAUGGACAGAUGGAAGGAUGGAUAAAGUCUGAUUCAGUGGUAUAAGAUAAAACAGCUAAAAUGAGAUGAGGUCAGAUUAAAUGUGACUGAAUUGGAUUUAAAAGAUCAGAUUAGGUGAGAUUACUUUACAUCAGAUUAUAUUGAAUCAGAUUUGAUCAGAUUAGACUAUUUGGAUUAAAAUCAUUGAAUCAAAAUCAUAAAACUGGAUUAGUAUAUAUUUGAAUAAAUCUGUUUCAGUUGUAUUAAACUUGAUUUAAUGAUUAGAUUAGAUUAGAUAAAAUAAAAAAAAAUUCAGAUUAGAUUAAAUUACAUUAUGUAAAAUUACAAUAGAUAAUAUAAAAUAAAAUAAGAUUACAUUAGAUUUCAGGUUAAAUUAGAUUAGAUUAGAUUAAAUUACAUUACAUUUCAUAACAUUAGAUUAAUUAAAAUAUCAUAAGAUAAAAUAAGAUUACAUUCAAUUUCAGAUUAAAGUAAUUUAGAUUAGAUUAGAUUACAUUACAUUACUUUCUUAACAUCACAUUUCAUAAGAUUAGUUUAAGUUUUGGAUUAUAUUAGAUUAGAUUAGAUUAGGUCAGGUUAGAUUAGUCUAGAUUAGAUUAGAUCAGGUCAGGUUAGAUUAGAUUAGAUUAGAUUAGAUUUCGAUGCAGUGUGGUGAUGGUUUUUGGACAGAGACUGUCCAUGAGUCUGUCGGUGUGAACUUUGAUGGAUUUAUAGCUCUUCCUGGGAUUAGAGGGUUAAACAAGUUAUGGGAAAGGAGGAUGAGAUUGGUGCUUAAGGAUGCAGGAAGUCAUCUGUAGACAGCAGGAAGUGUUGCUGUCAUCUACAGGAGGCGGACAUGUAUUGAUAAUAUUCUGGGCUGUGUUUAUGACCCCCUGUAGGGCUUUCCUGUCCCCCACUGAGCUGUUUCCAAACCAAACCAGGAUCCAAAGAGUCAAUAUGCUUCCAGUGGAGCAGCAGUUUAAAGACACCAGCAGUUUGGACUUCCUGAGAGUUUUCAUGUCAACGAUCACAUGACAAACACACUCUUAUUUUACUAAAGCUGCGAGAUCUCCGCUCUCUGCUUCUGCUCACGUGCCGCACUCACAUUCUCAGCCUCAACAUCCACCUGCACGCUCAUACUAGAGGUUUAAGACAUUAUCUCAUCGCUCCACAACGUCUGCAUGAAAAAGAAAAACUGUGGUGAGGAUGGAGCCAAGUCUCGAAAACACAAACAAUGUUCUUCUUCUGCUGCUGCAAUAAACAGUCUAAAGCGUAAACAUGA
Molecule: non-coding RNA, 1922 nt
Organism: Xyrichtys novacula (pearly razorfish)
Lineage: Eukaryota; Metazoa; Chordata; Actinopteri; Labriformes; Labridae
Source: the annotation of a GenBank genome assembly